AAUUGUCUAGAAGAGAUGUUAUUAUGAAAAACCUUCUAAGUAUAACGAUUGGGAAUCUAAUUCGCUGGUGGUGUAGAAUACUUUAAUUUAUUAAAGGAUCCUAAAGCUGGUGAUGUGAUGCCCACCUGGGAGAUCAGGUUUUAAUUCGUUAAGGCGUCCUUCUAGACUUUUU
RNAcentral lists this non-coding RNA (172 nucleotides) under Candidatus Coprosoma intestinipullorum. Its description in RNAcentral is "6S RNA". It matches the Rfam family "6S / SsrS RNA". Rfam says of the family: E. coli 6S RNA was the first non coding RNA to be sequenced, but its function was unknown until recently. It consists of 184 nucleotides that fold into an extended hairpin structure with a large single-stranded internal bulge. The 6S RNA specifically associates with RNA polymerase holoenzyme containing the sigma70 specificity factor. The record is from RNAcentral. Lineage: Bacteria; Bacillati; Bacillota.